GGGGAAGGAGUUCAGCGGAGAGAGCCCUCGGCCGGUAAGCGAACGAUUCGGGUUCGACUCCCGGCUACUCUG
RNAcentral lists this transfer RNA (72 nucleotides) under Toxocara canis (dog roundworm). It matches the Rfam family "tRNA". From Rfam's summary of the family: Transfer RNA (tRNA) molecules are approximately 80 nucleotides in length. Their secondary structure includes four short double-helical elements and three loops (D, anti-codon, and T loops). Lineage: Eukaryota; Metazoa; Nematoda; Chromadorea; Rhabditida; Toxocaridae. The record is from Rfam by way of RNAcentral.